UGGCGGACGGGUGAGUAAUGUCUGGGAAACUGCCCGAUGGAGGGGGAUAACUACUGGAAACGGUAGCUAAUACCGCAUAACGUCGCAAGACCAAAGAGGGGGACCUUCGGGCCUCUUGCCAUCGGAUGUGCCCAGAUGGGACUAGCUAGUAGGUGGGGUAACGGCUCACCUAGGCGACGAUCCCUAGCUGGUCUGAGAGGAUGACCAACCACACUGGAACUGAGACACGGUCCAG
This 235-nucleotide ribosomal RNA is filed under the name uncultured bacterium. RNAcentral's name for it is "partial 16S ribosomal RNA". It matches the Rfam family "Bacterial small subunit ribosomal RNA", at positions 96 to 334 of the family's 1533-position model. The record is from RNAcentral.